ACAAGUUAAGCGAAUAAGGGCAUAUGGUGGAUGCCUUGGCGCCAGGAGCCGAAGAAGGACGCGGUAAGCUGCGAAAAGGUACGGGGAAGAGCAAGCAUCUAUUGAUCCGUACAUAUCCGAAUGGGGCAACCCGGCAGAAGAAGUUCUGUCAUCCGAAAGGAAGGUAAACCCGGGGAACUGAAACAUCUAAGUACCCGGAGGAAAAGAAAUCAAACGAGAUACCCAAAGUAGCGGCGAGCGAAAUGGGAAGAAGCCCAAACCGUACCACUUCGGUGGUACGGGGUUGAGGACCGGCACAAGUUAAGUAACGUUCAGCUGAAUGACCUGGAAAGGUCAGGCAUAGGAGGUAAAACCCCCGUAGGCGAAGGACGGGACGUAAUGGCCGGGAUCCAGAGUAUCGCGGGACACGAGAA
RNAcentral lists this ribosomal RNA (413 nucleotides) under Pectinatus cerevisiiphilus. Its description in RNAcentral is "partial 23S ribosomal RNA". It matches the Rfam family "Bacterial large subunit ribosomal RNA", at positions 1 to 430 of the family's 2925-position model. The record is from RNAcentral. Lineage: Bacteria; Bacillati; Bacillota; Negativicutes; Selenomonadales; Selenomonadaceae.